Long non-coding RNA from Cylas formicarius (sweet potato weevil), 1286 nucleotides. RefSeq lists it as uncharacterized. The transcript is spliced from 4 exons. The record is from RefSeq and is a predicted model, not a curated record. NCBI's taxonomy places the organism in Eukaryota, Metazoa, Arthropoda, Insecta, Coleoptera, Brentidae.
AGUAUGGAGUAAAUGUAAAAUUUUACAAUAAAAUUUUAUGAUAUCGAAGCAUUAUGUUAAGGCCACUGUUGCUUAGCAAGGUUCCUGCUACGCAUCUUUAAGUCUGGAUCUAAAUCUUCAGUUAUCAAACUACUGAGAUAUCUGAAUUUGGUAGAAAAAUUUGGGCUGUUGGACAAGGUAGUGAUGUGAACGUCGCUCACGAACAUUUGCGAAUAUUGUUGCUGUAGCCCAAGACUUGGGUCUUAAGACUUAUAAAGCGCUACGUCCCAGACAAGCAACGAAACCAUCGAUCUUUCACAAAAUUGGUCACCCAGAUCUUGGGAUUUAACACCUUAUGAUUUCUUCCUUUGGGCCACGUGAAAGACCUACGCCAAUAGCCUAGUAUCGACUCAGGAUCUCAAAAAUGUCCUGUAAGCGUAGCAGUGGUGGCCAUUUAGCCGACAUUGUUUUCCAUUAUUAAUGGCAUACCUUCCUUUUUACAUUGAAACAAUCAUGGGAUCACUUAUCGCAGAAAAUGCCAUUUCUCUAUGAAUAUAAAAAUACCACCUUUUAUUGGAAGCAAUUCGUUUUUGUAUUGAAAACGCAAUAUAAAUAAUUGCAGUCAUCAAAAUUAUUUGUAAAUGUGCUUGAACAGGUCACGGAGGAAAUCUUUAUCAGUAAUUGAUGAUUUGCGGUGGCAUAGUCGGUCAUAAAAUUAAGAGGGAAGGUUCCUCGACAGAGAUAGCAUCUCUUACCGGAUACCAAUAGUUUCCACUACAAAACAGUUAUUACAGAUACUGCACGAUAUCAUUCUAGACUUACUGAAAGUGUACCAAAUGCAUCGACAAGAAAAAAAGUAAAAUGCGAGUUGUUAAAAAUUGCCAAAAAUUACAAAACAAACUUGCCGUAAGGCAAGGCACGAUGAUACUGCGGUAGGAAGGCAGUUUUCCAGACAGUUACCGAAGAAAAUUUAAUCAGUCGUAUAAGAUAAUAUAUAAAUGAAUACUGGGAAAAAGAGAAUACUCUUAUUAUUUUAGACGAAAGAUCAUUUUCUAGUAGUAGCAGUUCCGAUGUUCUCAAUAUGGGUAAGAUAUUUAGAGACAAAAAUAAAAAAUGUGUCAAAAAUUAUAGACCUAUAACUGCACCGUCUGUAUUUCCAAAAAUAUUAGAAUACGCAUUCAACAAUCGACUCUUUGCUUUUUUAAUGCAAAAUAAAAUAAUAUAAACAACUCAAUGCGGUUUUCAAAGUGGUUAUAAAUACAAUGACAGUAGUACCCUCAUUCUAUAAAUGAAUGAUGAUAAAUAAA